This 442-nucleotide ribosomal RNA is filed under the name uncultured bacterium. RNAcentral's name for it is "bacterial SSU rRNA". It matches the Rfam family "Bacterial small subunit ribosomal RNA", at positions 338 to 795 of the family's 1533-position model. The record is from RNAcentral.
CCUACGGGUGGCAGCAGUGGGGAAUAUUGCACAAUGGGGGAAACCCUGAUGCAGCAACGCCGCGUGAGCGAUGAAGGCCUUCGGGUCGUAAACUUCUAUCAGCAGGGAAGAAGAAAGUGACAGUACCUGACUAAGAAGCCCCAGCUAACUACGUGCCAGCAGCCGCGGUAAUACGUAGGGGGCUAGCGUUCUCCGGAAUUACUGGGCGUAAAGGGUGCGUAGGCGGCCCUUCAAGUCAGAGGUGAAAGGCUACGGCUCAACCGUAGUAAGCCUUUGAGACUGUAGGGCUUGAGUGCAGGAGAGGAGAGUGGAAUUCCCAGUGUAGCGGUGAAAUGCGUAUAUAUUGGGAGGAACACCAGUUGCGAAGGCGGCUCUCUGGACUGUAACUGACGCGGAGGCACGAAAGCGUGGGGAGCGAACAGGAUUAGAUACCCCGGUAGUC